AUUGGGUACUGGAGAUACAUUACUAUCUACAGGCAUCUGAAAGAAAACCCAGAGUACCAAUGUUAUCCUAUUUUCAAGUAUUUUGAGAACUGGUGCCAGGAUGAAAACCGUCACGGCGACUUCUUCUCUGCAUUGCUCAAGGCACAACCUCAAUUCCUUAAUGAUUGGAAGGCUAAGCUAUGGUCUAGAUUUUUCUGCCUCUCGGUAAUCCAUUUGUUUCCAUAUCACCUUUGAUCGCAUACAGCUUUUUUGUUAUUUAUACCAAUACUACAUAGCCUUCAAAUUUAACAAAUUUGUCCUGCAGGUGUAUGUUACUAUGUACCUCAACGACUGCCAGCGCACUGCUUUCUAUGAGGGCAUUGGACUCGACACCAAAGAAUUUGACAUGCAUGUCAUCAUUGAGGUUAGAUUCUGGUUCCACUGUUAUUCUAUAAGACCUUGGCAUAUAACUUUUAAUGAACUCUAGAGUUUUGGGCAUCAUUUACUUGUUAAUAAUGAAAUUUCUUGCAUACAGACAAACCGCACAACAGCCAGGAUUUUCCCUGCUGUGCUGGAUGUGGAGAAUCCAGAGUUCAAGAGGAGGUUGGACAAAAUGGUUGAGAUCAAUGAACAGUUGCUUGCUGUUGGGGAGACCUCUGAUAUUCCAUUGGUGAAGAACUUGAAGAGGAUUCCAUUAAUUGCAGCAUUGGCUUCAGAGCUCCUAGCUACGUAUCUGAUGCCGCCGAUCGAAUCUGGAUCUGUUGAUUUUGCUGAAUUUGAACCACAACUUGUGUACUAGAAUG
Molecule: long non-coding RNA, 782 nt
Filed under: Gossypium barbadense (sea-island cotton)
Lineage: Eukaryota; Viridiplantae; Streptophyta; Magnoliopsida; Malvales; Malvaceae
Description: long non-coding RNA (GBAR_LNC013759)
Source: RNAcentral